RNAcentral lists this ribosomal RNA (413 nucleotides) under uncultured bacterium. RNAcentral's name for it is "bacterial SSU rRNA". It matches the Rfam family "Bacterial small subunit ribosomal RNA", at positions 434 to 842 of the family's 1533-position model. The record is from RNAcentral.
CGGUGGGGAAGAAAAGCCUCGACCUAAUACGUCGGGGUCUUGACGUAACCCAAGAAAGAAGCACCGGCUAACUCUGUGCCAGCAGCCGCGGUAAUACAGAGGGUGCGAGCGUUAAUCGGAAUUACUGGGCGUAAAGCGCGCGUAGGCGGCUUUGCAAGUCGGGUGUGAAAUCCCCAGGCUUAACCUGGGAACUGCACUCGAGACUGCAUUGCUAGAGUAUGGGAGAGGGAAGUGGAAUUUCCGGUGUAGCGGUGAAAUGCGUAGAUAUCGGAAGGAACAUCAGUGGCGAAAGCGACUUCCUGGACCAAUACUGACGCUCAUGUGCGAAAGCGUGGGGAGCAAACAGGAUUAGAUACCCUGGUAGUCCACGCCAUAAACGAUGAGAACUGGAUGUCGGGAGGGUCUGCCUCUCG